Molecule: long non-coding RNA, 14082 nt
Filed under: Manihot esculenta (cassava)
Lineage: Eukaryota; Viridiplantae; Streptophyta; Magnoliopsida; Malpighiales; Euphorbiaceae
Description: long non-coding RNA (MESC_LNC003005)
Source: RNAcentral
CCAUUUGGAGCUGGUAGAAGAAUUUGUCCUGGGAUUUUUAUGGGUCUGGCAACAGUGGAGGUAUCUCUAGCUAAUCUGCUUUACAAAUUUGAUUGGGAGAUGCCUGUUGGAAUGAAGAAGGAAGACUUGGACAUGGUUGUGCAACCUGGUAUUACUAUGCACAAGAAAAAUGCUCUUUGUCUUAUGGCCAGGAAGUAUCUCUGAUGAAAGGGCACAAUAUAUUUAUAUGAGAAUCCUUGUAUGUAUAUAAGAAGAGGUUGUACUUCUCUUCUAUUAAAUAAUGUCUUGUGCUUGAUUUUAGUUCUUGCUGAUUUUUUUUUUGUCAGAAACUGAGGUUUUAAUUUAAUGUUAUGAUACCAUAGUAGACAUAAUAUUCAAAUAAGGUUCAGUUUUCCUCAUCAACCUGGUGGGCAACUUUAUUAUUAUUAUUUUUAAUAAGCAGGUAAAAUUUUAUUAUUUUCAAUAAGAAAAAAUUAGAAUAACCACACAGGCUACCCAAAUAAAGGAACCCAUCACCCAUCCUACAACAUGAUGGCAUCCUAAACAAGACAUAGAGAGUACAAAUCAAAGAAGAAAAACUAGACUCCAAUAAGCAAAUAAAACCACACGCAGUUUGUCAUACCGGCCCAUAAAAAAAAAAGUUAAAAAAAUAAUAAAAUUAAAAAAAAUAUACAUGGAGCUCUGGUUUCCGCAAGUCCCGAAACCAAAGCCCUUCCUCUUCCCUUAAAACAGAGCUUUGCUAAGCUCUUUAAAAGAAAAAAAAAAUUUUUUUAAUCCCAAAUAUUUUCAUCUUCAACCCAUCAUUCUAUAAACUUUCAAAAUUAUCAACUAUAUUAUUAUUUAAAUUAAUUUUUUGACAAAAAAUUCAAUAAUUUCUUUUAGAAACUCCAAUAUUUAAAUAGGUUAAUUUAUUUCUUUUAUUUAGAUUAUUACAAUUUAAUUUAUUUUUUCUACUCUUAAAUAGUACUUUUUAUGAUUUAAAAUUUAAAAAAAAUAAAUUUUAAUUAGAUUAAUUGAUGAGAUUUUAUUUUUAAAAUUAAUAAUUUUUAUAAAUUGAUCUAAAUAAUAUUCAUAAUUUAUUGGGUGUUUUGAAAUUAUGUAAUUUUAUGAGUUGUAAUUAUAUAAGAAUACUACUGAAUUUUUUUUAUAAAAAGAAAAAAAAAAUAUAUAUAUAUAAUAUUUGAAAUUUAUAUUUCACAUUUUAUAUUUUUAUUUUAGAAUAUUUAUUUAUCAUUUGAUACAUUACUUUUAAUUCUAAAUUUUAGAAGGGAAUCCAACUUUUUAUUUUGGCAUCUAAGCUUAUUUUAUAAAUAUAAAAAUUUUCUUAAAUAUAUUGUAUAUAUAUAUUAUUUUAUUUAUUUAAAAUAGAAAUAGAUAAAAUGAAUACAUAUUUCUUAAAUUAAUGAAAAUUAAAUUUAAAAUACAGUUAAAUAAAUAGUCGAUCACAUUAUCAUUAUAAAGUCUAAAAUACUAGCAUUGCUCUCAGAUUAUUAUUAUUUUAUUUUAUCACAUAUGAAAUGUUAGCAUUAUUCACAAGAAGCAUGCUAAGGGUAUAUUCGGAUUUAAUUUAUCACAUUUAUAAUUUUAGAUUCAUUAUUCUAGUAUUGAUAUUUUAGUAAUUUUUAUUCAACUUAAUAUAUAUUAAUCAAAUUAAAUUGUAUUUAUUGAGCUGAUAUAUUUUAGUUUAAUAUUUGAUUAAGUACCAAAACUUUAUCUUUUCUCCUUUAUUAUUUAUUUAUCCAAGUUUAUUGAGUAAGUUGUAAUCACCCCUUAUAUUUUUAAUAUUACAGAUUUUUUUAUGAUUUAACUUUAUCUUUUUUCUUUUAUUAUUUAUUUAUUUGAUCACUGAAUAAAUUAUACUCACCACUUAUACUUUUAAUAUUAUAUAUUUUUUUGGUGAUUCACUCCUAACAGUUUACACCUUAUAAUAUUGUUUUUUUUUCCACUUCAUUAAUUUCAGAAUUUAGUAGAGACCGGAUCAAUUCUAAAUCUUUUGUAACUUUUUAUAAUUUUAGAGAAUAAUAUAUAAAUUGUAUGCUCAAACAGCUGAAUAUAUUUUGUUUGGUAUAUAUAUAUAUAUAAUUUUUUUUAUUCUCAUAGAGAGAAUAAUGAUAUAAAGAUAUUAUGAAUUAACUAGAUCAGUCACAAGUUCUUCUUUUUCAUGUUUUUAUAUUUUAAAAUUAUAGCAGGUUAUACAUAUUUAUUACAUGUAUAUUUAGAGAAGUUAGUUUUUUAUCAUAUCCGUCUUUAUAUAUUAAAGAGUGGGUGUAACACAUAUAAAAUCGGUUGACGGGAAAAAACUAAGCUAACCAAUCUAAUCAAUUAGAACAAAAAAAUACAUCCGAUUUAUCAAAAGCACAAGAGACCAAUGAACCGGUCAACCAAAUUCUUAACAAAAAAUGCAGUAUAUAAAUACCAAGUGAGACCUAAAAUAAGAAGACAAAAACAAACAUAAAUAUCCAAAUCACAGCUGCAGACUAAUAAAAGGAGCAUCAAGAAACUAAAACCAAGCUGCGAAAUCUGCAUUUCUAUAUAGACCUUAUUUUGCAAGAGAAUCUGCUAACCAAAUUGCCUCUCUGAGAGUGUGCUUGGACUGAACUUUUGGAUCAUUUUAAGGCAAUCAGCAAAAGAAAAAGAGAAAGAAGUGAGUCUCCAAGCAGCAGAGAAAAGGGAUGCAAUCCAAGAAAAGGCAAUUAGCAAAAGUCAUUUGUCUUAAUAAACAGUUAAUUUCCUUUUUGGCUGAAAAGCUUGUACCUUAUUAAUGAUUUUCCUGAAUAUUCUGAAUACCAAAAAAUAUAAUUUUUUAAAAAAAAUAUAUAUAUAUUUUAAAAAAAUUAUAGCCUUUAUUUCUUUACCAACGCUUAUACCCUAUUUGGAAAGAGGUUUUUUAAGUUAAUGAAAGAUUUUUUAAAUUUUAAAAAUUUUAAACUUGUUUUAGGAGGGAGGGAGUGAUGAUUUUUUAAAUAGGUUUUUAAAAGUUUUUAAAAAAUUUUCUAAAAACCUUUAAUUUUAACCCAUUAAAUGGGUGGGUUAAGAAAAUUUUAUCUUCAAAACUUUUAAAUAUUUUUAAAAAAUUUAUUUUUUUAAACAAUAAAAAAUUAUUAAUAUUUAAAAACUAUGAAAAAACCUUAUCUUAAAAUAUUUUACCUCCUUCCAAACAAAGUAUUAAUAAAUUGCAAGACCUGUAUAUAGAGCUAAGCAUGAACUACGUAAAAGUCAUUCCAAACCCUAAAUCCAAAACACACAAUAAACCCAAUUAAAAUCAAAACACUAAUUUGAAUUGAAAAAAAUCAAGCUAAAGAAGUAAAAAUAAAUCGAACUAAACUCAAAAAAUGAAUGGAUAACAUACACCGACUCUACGGCAAUAAUACAAUCACACCACACGCCAUCAUAAAUGCAGGGAGCAUGGCAGCAAAGCACCAUCAACCACAAAACAGAGCCAACAUAAAGGCAACCACAAUAAAUACAAACAAAAACAAAAUGAAAAAUAAAAGGCUAACUUGCAAGACCAAAACAGCCCUUAGAACAACCCAAAACUCCAAUUAAACAAACCAGAGAGUUGCUAUAGAGCUUAUCUAAAGAAUAGCCUACCAGAGUAGUAUCAUCAGAUAUAUCAAUGUGGUUUCAAAUUUUCACAUCAAAUACUAAAGAACUUCUUCGGAAUUAGCAAUAGAGACCUAAACAUCAAGACCACAUAGUGCAAACUGAAUAACAAAAAGAAAUAUUUAAUCCAUGAUGAGAGAGUAAAGAGGACUACAGACUCAAAAAAGAAAAGGAAAACACAACAAAACAAAAGACAAAAUGAAAUCAACCUUCCCUUCCCUAAGCAAGUAUGGCAUCUUUAAGGAACAAAGCAAGUAAAUUUCUUUAUAAAAAAAUAAAUAAAUAGGACCCACUUUGAUAUAUUUUGGCUCCAUAAUAAAUUGAGUCCACCUAAAAAUUUCUCUUUUUUUAAGUUUUUGUUUCUUCCAUCGAGUUAUAAAAAUUAUUUUCUAGCCAUUAAAAGUUUCAUUCAAUUGAUUUUUUUUAUAAAUGUAAUUUUGAAAGAGUAAGAGAAUAAUAUGCAUAAUAGACACACAAAUUUAUUUGAAUUUAAUACGAAAAUGAAAGACACAUAAUAGACGAGUAUUUGAAUUUGUUUCUCUAGAUCUCUCUACUAUUUCAUAUGAAAUUUUUUUUAAUUGUAUUGAAAUUUUAGCAGUAUAUUAUUUUUACUGCUCCUUAAUUGUGUCACUCUCAUCAUCAACAUGGGCAAAAAGUCGGAUUACUUUCUCUUUUUAAAAUUUUAAAAUUUAAUAUUAAUGUAACAGGGAAGGAUUAAUUCUCCUUUCUUAAUAUUGUUGUAGUAGUUAGGAAUGAUAAUAGUGCUUUUUAGAUAAGAUGGCUAAACGUGUUAGAUAUUACUCUUCUACGAUGAUAGAAACUCAUACUAUAUUUAGCUUUAGUAAGAAGUUCACAAUCGUUUAUUUAUUAUAUAAAUAUAAAAAUUCUCUUCAUAUCACUACCUGAACUUGAUUUUUUAUCUUAUUCGAAGUAAUUAUUAUUGUUGCUAUUAAAAUUUUGUGAUUUUAAUUGUCUAACCUUUCUUUUAAACUUAUAUAUGGGCAAGGUAAUAAAAUUAUUGAUCUAGUGGCUAAAUUUUAUUUGAAAAAUGCUUUCCCUCGUAAUUGCAUUACAACUAAUCCUUCGACCUUAGACUCAGUUUUGUAAUCUUUGUUGUGUUUUUAGCAGUGAUGCACUAAAUUAUUAUAAAGAUUAAAAAAAAAUUCAAUUCUGACAGGUCCCGCGACCAGAUUUGAUUUAUUAUUUAUAGUGAUGUCGGAUGACAUACUUCAAGGGAACAGAUUACAUUGAAUUUAUCACUUCCUAUCUCUAUCCCUUGUUUCACUCAAGUGAAAGCAUUUUGGAAAACCAUGGCGAUUUUUCGUUCAUUGGCGAUUUUUGAUGACAUAUUCCAAGGAACAGACAAUUACGUUGAGCUUAUCACUUCUAGUCGGUUCCUUUGUCUCAUUCUUCUUUGAAUAAUAUACGGCAUAAUCCCCGUAAUCUAACGCAUAUAAUUUAAUCAAGUAAUUUGAUCUUUGAAUUUUCAUUUGUGAAUAAAUUAGUUUUUUUUGUUAAAUUUACAGUUAAUAUCAGCUAUAAAUUUGAUAACUUAACUCAAAUCGAAGAAAGUAUAUGUUUUUUUUUUAAAUAGAGAUCGAGAGAGUAUAAUUGAUAUCUCUUAAAUUUAUUCGGAUGCAUUUACUAUCAGAUUAAAUUUGUGAGUACUAAAAAAUAUAUGUUAUAAAUAUUAAAGUUAUAGAAAUUAAAUUAUUAUAAAAAAUAAAUUUAAAUAAUUAAAUUAUGAUAGUUUAAUUAAUGACUAUUUUAUUAAUUAAAUAAUAUUUAAUAGAUAAAUAGAUUUUUAUUAAAAAAAUAAAAAUCGUAAAGGAUUUCUAGCGUGAUAUGAAUUAUAUAAAUUAUCAAAUUUAACUCAUUAUGAAGUAAACUAUUUAUCAAAUAAUAUUUUAAUUAUGUUUAUUUAUAAUAUAAAAAUAUAUACAUUAAUUAUAAAAUAAAAUUAAAAUUUGAAGUAACGAAUAAAAAAGAAAUUAAAAUUGAUUUAUUAUAUAUUCAAGCAGUAAAAUUUAGAUUUUAUCAUACAAUUAAUUAAGUGUAGCAGAUUAAUAGUAUAAAUCAAAUUAAUAUGAUUUUUAAAAUAAUUUUUAUUUAAACCGUAUUCAUGAAAAUACAUAAUAUAAAUAUAUAAAAUUUUACAUGUGCACCGAUAAAUCUUAUUAGAUAUAUUUCUUAGCCAUCAAUCGGAGAUGCUCCCUCUUGUGCACAGUAAUUCCUGGCAGAACAUUAUCGGUGUCUAUGUCCUCCCUUUUCAUCCCAUCAGGCAUUUCCCACUCAAAUUUGUAAAGAAGAUUAGCGAGUGAAAGCUCCACAUUGGCAAUUCCCAUAAAUAUUCCAGGACAAAUUCUCCUGCCAGCUCCAAAUGGUAUUAACUCAUAAUCCUGUCCUUUCAUGUCAAUACAAGUAUCCAAAAAUCUCUCUGGACGGAACUCCAAUGGCUUCUCCCAAGCUUCAGGAUCCCUCCCAAUUGCCCAUGCAUUCACGUGAACUAGUGUUUUUUCAGCUAUUUCAUACUCACCUAAAGUGCACUUGUGAACUGUUUCUCUUGGGACUAGAAAUGGAACUGUUGGUUGCAGUCUCAUCAUCUCUUUCACCACAGCUUUAAGAUAAAGCAAUUGUUGAAUAUCGUCUUCAUCUACAAAACCCUUUUUCCCAAUUAAGCUUCUUAUUUCAUCUUGAACUUUUUUCAUUGUUUUAGGAUUUUUCAUUAGAAAACUCAUAGCCCAUAUCACAGCAGCAGCACUUGUGUCUGUUCCUGCAACAAAUAAGUUCUACGUAGACAUGAAAAUGAAAAUAUAAGUUUUGGAACGAAGCUCAAAACUUAGAGAAAUACAAUUUGUGCCCAUGCUAAUUACUAAAAAAUAAUAAAAAAAUAUUAUCCAGCAAUUGUAUUAUUGCAUAUCUAUAAAGGGUGAGGUCAGCAAUAAUAAAAACAAUAACAAAUGAAAUAUUGAGAUUAGCUAGCAUUACCAUGAGAAUUGCUUUGAUGUGCUCAAAAGUUAGUUGAACUUUAAAUGAACGAUCCCUCCAAAGUUGAAGUAAAACAUCAAGAAUGUCCUCAUGCUGUGGCUUUUGCCUCUUUGGAUCGAGGUGUUCAUCGAUGAGUUCUUGGUAGAAAGCAUCAAAGUCAUGGAAAUUCUUUUCGAGUCUGGAGAGAAGUCCAGAGAAUUUAUCAACAAUCCGACCGAUGUAAGGAAAAUAAUCUGAAAAGAAGAAUCCCACAAACAUGGCCUGAGUUUCAUUAAGCAACUCAUGAAGCCUCUUGGCUUCAUUUCCCCCUUCCUCAAAUCUCUUUCCAAAAGCAACUCUGCAUAUUGCAGCACUCGCAAGAGCCAUCAUUGCUUCAGUCAAGUUGACAGGUUUAGAAGCAUCAGCUACUUUCGAUAUAUUUUCAAGCAUACGAGAAACUUCAUCUUCUCUAAUGGGACGAAACUCCUGGACUCGAUUUGAGUUGAAAAGAUAGACGACACAGAUUUUUCUCAUCUCUCUCCAAUAAGCAUCAUAGGGUGCAAAAGCCAAAUCUAAACCAUUGUAGGAUAAUCUCUGUAGACCAAGCAAGGGAGGCCUGCUACAGAAUUCAAGAUCUUGGGUUUUCAAAACCUCUUUAGCCAUUUUGGCUGAAGAGACUAUUAGAGUUUGCUUGAAACCUAGUCUUAAGGACAUGAGAGGUCCAUACUGUUUGGAAAGCUGCCAUAAAUGUUUUUGAAUGUUGGAGUUGUCAAGCUGGAAAAGGUUUCCUACCAAGGGAAGACCCUUGGGACCAGGAGGGAGACGAGGUUUUCUUAUGUGUAUCUUGAGAAGAAACAAGAGGAAGAUAGGGAGGAGGAGAAGGAAAAUAAGCAACUCCAUUUUGAUCUGUAGAGAUAAGUUGACAGAGACGAGGGUCUCUAUAUAUAGAAAAAUUACAGUCGAAAGUAAAGACUACACGCUCAACUAGUUGAGAUGUCUCUAUAAAUAGAAAAAUUGCAUUUGAAUGUAAAAUUAAAGACUGAAUAAGUGGAGAAAUUUCGAUACUAAGACUGUUUAUUUAUGAAAAAUAAUUUAUGCUUGAAAACUUUUUCAUGAUAAAAUUAUAAAUUUUUUUUUUAAUUGUUUAAUUUUACUUUGAGAAAAUAUAUUAACAAAUUUAUAUUUAAAAAAUCUAAUAAAAUUAAUAUUAACAAGUUUAUCAUUAGUUUAAAAUUAAUUGUUUCAUAUUAAAUAGUACCCAAUAUUUCUUUUUAUCAAUAUUAAUUUGUGCAAUAUUUGUCUCCUAAAAUUUGGAAUUCAUGGAUAUUAUUUAUUUUCCUAAUUGAAAUCUAAAUUUAAAAUUGAUUUAUAAAAAUUUAAUUUUAGAAUCUCAAUUUCAUAAAUUAUCCUAAUUAAUGUCUAUUAAUAUCCAGAUUUAUUGUUUAAUCAAUUAUAUGUGCAAAUAUAAAUAAUUACGACUAAUGAUAUAUACUAAUCAUUUGGACGAAAUUUUAUAAUUAUUUUUUAGUUUUUUAUAGUUUUUUUAGUUUCUUGUAAUUUUUUAAUUACUAAAAUAAAAAAGAAAACAAUUAUUUUAGUCUAUUUUUCUCUUACAAUUGUCUCCCUUUCUUAUCAUUCAUGGUCAAAUUAAUUAUGAUUAUUCACUAAUACAAUUAUUUUAUUUUAAUUAAUUUUUUUAUUUCGUAAAUUUGUAAUAAUUUAUUUAUAAAUUUUAUGUUUCUUUUUUAUCCAUUAUCAUUAAUAUAAAAACUUUUUGAUUUAAUCAUUGGAAAUUGGUAUCAACAAAAGUAACUUAAGUUCAUUCAACUUAAGGCCUCAAUUAUUUUUUAUUAAUAAAAUAUUUAAAUAUUUUAAUAAAUAAAAAAUUUAAAAUAUUUUUCAUAAAAUUAAAAUUGGAUUCAAUGGACUAAAUUUCGCCAAUAAUGCAAUUGACAUGACGCGGACAUAACUCCACAUGAAUUCAAGCUUUCAAACCUUAUUUAUUUUCGAAAAUAAUUUAUAUUUUUUUAUUAAAAAGAAAAAUUAUUUUUUAAAAUUAAAUUAAUUUUAUUAAUUAAGAAAAUAUUUUCUAUUAAUUAAAAUUUUUAAAUACUUUAAAUAUUAAAAAUAAUAAUAAAAUUAAUAUGAUGUGCUCACUAAACUGUAGCUCCUUUUUUUCUUUGACAAUGGCAUUCAUAGCAUUUAAAUGCUGUAAAGCCUACGUCAUAUUGAAGAGGUUCGAAUUUCAAUUAUCAAAAUUAAAUAUGAUGUGCUCACUAAACUGCGAAGUUGUUGACAUCUCUAAUACUUACAUAAAUGGAGUAGUUUAAUAAUUUUUGAGUUAUUAAUGUCAAUUUUAUUCUUUGUAAAAAUUUAAUAUUUAAAUUUUAAUCUCUUUCUACCCAUCCAAGCAAAUAUCCUCAAUAAUUUAAUUUAAAAUAGAAUAUAAUUCAAACUUUCAGAUAUUAAUAAGUAAUUAUUAUUUAAAAAAUUAUAAUAAAAAAACUGAAAUUUCUUUAGUCAUUUUCCCAGGCGAAACUACCAGUAAUUAUUAUUUUUUGACUUCAUGAAAAAUCAAUAGUUAUUCUUAUCUUAAUAGAGGGAAGUUAUUUACCUCAAUUUAAUUAAAUUAUUUUUUGAGAAGUGAUUUUUUAUAAAGUAAAAUAUUUGAAUUAAACAAGACCUUAAUAAAAUAUAUAAAUAUUAAUAUUGCUUACAGUUUGGUAAUUAAUAUAAAUCAUAAAAUAAACAUAAAAAAUACUAUAUAUAUAAUAUUAGAAUUAUAGAUCUUUAUAUUCAAACAUUAAGAAUAUGAUUUGAUAAUUUAAAAUUCUUUAUAAUUUUUUCUAUAUUUGUUUAAAAUAAAAUAUACCAUCAUUAAAUGGAGAAAAAAAAAUAUUAAUAUGAAGUAUAAAUACCAUCAUUUUUCUCAUAAUUUUGUCUUUUUUCAUAAUUUUUAGAUUUUCUUAAUAGUAAACUAAAGAUACAUUAUCAGAAAAUCUCUUUAUAUAUAUACACCAUUAUGAUUUAUUAUUUUCGCACUAAUGAAGAAAAAUACUUCGUCAUAUAUAUAUAUAUAUAUAUAUAUGAUUUAUUAUUUUGGUAUCAAUCAGUAAAUCAAAGAUUUUGUGUUUCUAAAAAAAAUCUGCAAAAUUUACUUGAUUUAAAGCACAAUUUACUUGAUUUAAAGUGACUUUCUGGUCAAUCGUAACAAUCCAACUUAAUCCAAAAUAUUACCUCACGUUAUUUAAUAAUUUUUACUAAUUAUUUAUAUAAUUUUUUUAAAAUUUUUUAAUUUAGACUAUAACACUUAUUCUGUAUUUGAAAAUUUUUAAGUUUUUCAUUUAAUAUAAUAAUAUUUAGACUUAAUUUCUUUUUUAUUGUGCAAGGUAAUAAUUUCUUUGUCAUGCUAAAUUUUUUUAUGAAUUAAAUAUUAAUAAAAUUUCCUUUAUUAAAAAAUACUAAUUUAUGAACUCAGUUUUUGACGAAAAUAAUAGCAAAAGCUCAUCUUUUACUAAAAUCAAGCACAAGGACAAUAAACAUACAUUAUUUAAAAGAAGAUAACUACAAAUUCUUCUUACAUAGUGGUUGCAUAUCAAGGAAAUUAUUGCUUAAAUCAAAUAUAUAUUAAAAUUUAAAAAAAUUAAAAAAAAUUAAAAAAAAUAAAGAGAGAAAGAGAAUAUUACUUGAUUAUUAAUUUAUUUAUAUAAUAAAAAAAUAAUUAUUUUAUAAAGUAAAAAUUAUAGCAAAAUAUAAAAUAAAUAAUAUUUCUCUUAAAUAGAUUGAGAUGUAAAGCGAGUAUAUGGAAUCAAAUAUAAAUGUCAUGGUAGAAUUUGUAUUAUUAAUUUAACUUUAAAAUUUUAUUAUAGACAAAUGAUUUGAAAAAAGAUAUUUGAAAUUUCCUUAAAAUAAUACAGUAUGCUAUAUGCUAUAGUUUUAAUGUUAUAUUUUUUUAUUAUUAAUUAAACUACCGAUAUAAAGAAUAUAGUAAAGUAUUUAAAUUUAAUUAUAUAUAAAAAAAAUCUAUAUUAUAUGAUGCUAAUUGAUUAAGAUAAUUUAGCAAUUGCUCGAAAUAAUUUACUCAGAUGCUAAAAAAAAUAUGUAUAUUUUAUUUAAGUUUUCUUAAUGGAUUAAAUAUAUUUUAUUUCUUUUUACAUAAUUUAGAGAUAAUUUAGCAACUUUUCAAAUUUUUUACCUUUUNNNNNNNNNNNNNNNNNNNNNNNNNNNNNNNNNNNNNNNNNNNNNNNNNNNNNNNNNNNNNNNNNNNNNNNNNNNNNNNNNNNNNNNNNNNNNNNNNNNNNNNNNNNNNNNNNNNNNNNNNNNNNNNNNNNNNNNNNNNNNNNNNNNNNNNNNNNNNNNNNNNNNNNNNNNNNNNNNNNNNNNNNNNNNNNNNNNNNNNNNNNNNNNNNNNNNNNNNNNNNNNNNNNNNNNNNNNNNNNNNNNNNNNNNNNNNNUAUUAAUUAUAUAAUUUAAUUAAUUAUAUAUUAAAUUUAUACAAAUAUAAAAAUAAUGUUAUUAAAUUUAUACAAAUAAUUAAUAUUAAUAAAUUAAAUAAAUAAAAUAAAAUUUAAUAAUUAAUUAAAUAAAAAUAAACUUUUAAAAUGCAGAAUUCCACAUUUUAAAUUAGGAAAGUAUAUUACGGCACUUUUUAAAGUGCAGUAGUGUAAUCUUUUUUAAAAUUAUUUUUUAUUACCGCACUCUAAGACUCUAUCACACUUUUAAAGUGUGGUAGAGUCGGCUUUUAUCUUAAUUUGAGACUAAAUUGAAUUGUUCGUAAUCUAUUUGAGACUAAAUUUGAUAAAAAUUCGAUUCGUUUAAACUCGUUUACUAAACGAGUUAAGUUUGAACUUAUUAAAACUCGGUUUAAGUUUAAAAUGAGUAAAAUUUAAAUUCUGUUCGAAUUUGAGGAAAUUUUAAUGAAUCAAGUUUAAACUCUUUAAAACUCGAUUCGGUUAGCUCAUUUAUAUCCUUAAAAAUUAUGGCUAUUUAUUAAAAAUGUGAUAUUAGAAGUACUAUUUUGAUGUAAAUCAAAUUAAGGAAAAAAAAUAAUAAAUUCAUAAAAUAUUUUUAUUUUUUCUCCUGAAAAUUAAAUGAGACUCGAAUAUUUUGUAUUUUAAAUUUUUGGUAAACUAAAUUUACGUCAAAAUUGUUCAUUUGUGAAUAGUGAUGAUAUAUUUUUACGUAGUAACGAAUCUUUGAGGAUAAUGUUGAUUUUCCUUUUAGGAAAAAAAAGACAAAGUCAGCAUCGUGCAUGGAGAUCUCAAUGAAUUGUUUACAUAUGAAUAUUUAAUUAAACAAAGUUAUACAUAUUGCUUGAAAUUGUAUAAAAAUGAAUUUUUUUUUAAAUUGAGAAUUAAAAAUUAGGAAAGUAAAAUCUGAAAUCUCUCGGAUUUACUCAGAUAUACUCAUCAUCGGACUAAAUCUAUGAGUGCGUAUAAAAAUGAACUUAAAAUUAUCAUAUUAAAAAUUGCAUUUUAUAUUUUAGUAACAAAAAAUUUUUACUACUAAUUCUAUUAUUUUUAUUAUACUACUAUUAUUUCCCCAAUAAUGGAGAAACAAGCUCCAUGAUAGUUACACCCAUGACCUACCAUAUCAAACAUGUAUCUUGCUAUUUCUAGCUUAAAUCAUAAGCUUAAGGAUUCUUUUGGAUACUUAAUUAAAUGAUUAUUUUUUAAUUAAAAUGAGAAAAAAGAAAAAAAAGAAAAACUAAGCAUUUUCUAAAUUUUUUUUUAUUUUUUAUUUGUUAAUCUUAAUAAAGUUUGUUAAAUUAGUUAUACAAUUUAAUUAAUUUAAAAUUUAAAUUUAAUAAUUUUCUAAACAUUUUUAUUAAAAAUUUAUAUAAUAUAUUUAUAAAUAUAUAAAUCAUACCUAUAAAUAUUAGUUUACUCGUACAUCAUUGUAUCAUAUCGAAUAGGGACAGAACUUAGAGGCGUAAACAAAUCAAGUCGAGUCAAGGCUUGAGAAGUUCAAGUUUCGCUUAUUAAAAUUUUUCUAAACUCAAACUGAAUUCAAGUAUUACUCAUUUUGAAUUCGAAGCGAAUAUUAAUUAAUAAGCUUAAACUUGGUUCAUUUAGUAAAUGAAUUUAGACGAACCGAAUUUUUAUUGAGUUUAAAUUUGAAUAGAUCAUGAACAGUUUAAUUUAUUUAUAAAUAUAAUAAAUUUUAAUUUAAAAUUAAUAAAUGCAAAAUUAAAUAAUUUUUAUUAACUCGUAAAUUUAUAAAAAAAAUAAGCUAUUAAAUUUUAACAAUCCGAAUAUCUAUAAAUUCUAACCGUGUAAUCAAAUUAUAAUCAAAUUAUGUAAAGCUAAAUUUUAGAAAACUUAACAGAAUUUGAUAUUUUAACCAUUCAGGUUUUCCUUUUGUUUUUUUAAUAAGGUAUAAACAGGACAAUGACAUCGUGAUUCAGACUGCUUUCCAUAGUAUGAUCUAUGGUUUCAAUGCAAUGCUUGUACUCCUUAAUGACACCAAAACCUUGUUUGUGUGAAUAGCAUGUUUGAAGAGAGAGCAUAUCUUUUUCAAUUCAAAAGUCAUAAAUGAAACGACAUCUAUAGAAAUCAUGAUAUCAAAUAGCUAAGUGCAAAGUUACAACAAACAUAAUAAUUAAACUGUUCUGGAUAUCUUACUUCAAUUAUGGAAGAAUCGUUCUUUUAAAGUUGAUCUCACCUUUGAUCACAUCAAAGCUGUGCUUAUGGUAAUUUCCACAUUUAUAUAUUCAAGAUUUCUUUAUUUUUUUUUAUAAUUACACAUAUUAUUUUAUUUUUGUUCGCAUCAAAAGUGCUUCUAAGAGAUUUGCUCAAUUCAUAAGUACCCAAAGGAGAAAUUAUUGCUUUGGUUUCUUUAUAUGAUGUCAUGCAUUAAUAGUGAUUUUUUUUUUUGGUCCUUUGCUCUAUACAGAACGUAUUUGUGGGUGGAACAGACACCGGUGCAGCAACUGUGGUUUGGGCCAUGACCUUACUGAUGAAGAAUCCCAUAACAAUGAAGAAAGCUCAAGAAGAAAUUAGAAAACUUGUUGGGAAGAAAGGUUUUGUAGAAGAAGAUGAUGUUCAACAACUACCUUAUCUCAAAGCUGUGAUCAAAGAAACAAUGAGAUUGCAACCCACAGUUCCCUUAUUAGUCCCAAGGGAAUCAACUGAAGACUGUGUGUUAGAUGGAUAUGACAUACCAGCAAAAACUGUAGUUUAUGUGAAUGCAUGGGCAAUUGGAAGAGAUCCUGAAAUCUGGAAAAACCCAGAAGAGCUUAAUCCUGAGAGACUCAUCAAUAGCUCUAUUGACUUGAAAGGCCAAGAUUUUGAGCUGACACCAUUUGGAGCUGGUAGAAGAAUUUGUCCUGGGAUUUUUAUGGGUCUGGCAACUGUGGAGGUAUCUCUAGCUAAUCUGCUUUACAAAUUUGAUUGGGAGAUGCCUGUUGGAAUGAAGAAGGAAGACUUGGACAUGGUUGUGCAACCUGGUAUUACUAUGCACAAGAAAAAUGCUCUUUGUCUUAUGGCCAGGAAGUAUCUCUGAUGAAAGGGC